GAAUUCAACUCCUACGGGAGGCAGCAGUGGGGAAUUUUGCGCAAUGGGGGAAACCCUGACGCAGCGACGCCGCGUGGAGGAUGAAGGUCUUCGGGUUGUAAACUCCUUUUCUUGGGGAAAAUGGUGAUGGUACUCAAGGAAUAAGCCACGGCUAACUCUGUGCCAGCAGCCGCGGUAAGACAGAGGUGGCGAGCGUUGUUCGGAAUUACUGGGCUUAAAGGGCGAGUAGGCGUUCUGAUAAGUCAGCUGUGGAAUCUUUUCGCUUAACGGAAAAAUUGCAUCUGAAACUAUCGGGAUUGAGUCAGUGAGGGGAGGGCGGAAUUCCUGGUGUAGCGGUGAAAUGCGUAGAUAUCAGGAGGAAGGCCUGUGGCGAAGGCGGCCCUCUGGCACUGUACUGACGCUGAGGCGCGAAAGCGUGGGGAGCAAACAGGAUUAGAAACCCGAGUAGUCCAGGCGUU
This 458-nucleotide ribosomal RNA is filed under the name uncultured bacterium. Its description in RNAcentral is "bacterial SSU rRNA". It matches the Rfam family "Bacterial small subunit ribosomal RNA", at positions 328 to 803 of the family's 1533-position model. The record is from RNAcentral.